Molecule: ribosomal RNA, 484 nt
Filed under: uncultured bacterium
Lineage: Bacteria
Description: partial 16S ribosomal RNA
Rfam family: Bacterial small subunit ribosomal RNA
Source: RNAcentral
AUUGAACGCUGGCGGAAUGCUUUACACAUGCAAGUCGAACGGCAGCACGGGGGCAACCCUGGUGGCGAGUGGCGAACGGGUGAGUAAUACAUCGGAACGUGCCCGGUCGUGGGGGAUAACGUAGCGAAAGUUGCGCUAAUACCGCAUACGAUCUGAGGAUGAAAGCGGGGGACCUUCGGGCCUCGCGCGAUCGGAGCGGCCGAUGUCAGAUUAGGUAGUUGGUGGGGUAAAGGCCUACCAAGCCGACGAUCUGUAGCUGGUCUGAGAGGACGACCAGCCACACUGGGACUGAGACACGGCCCAGACUCCUACGGGAGGCAGCAGUGGGGAAUUUUGGACAAUGGGCGCAAGCCUGAUCCAGCCAUUCCGCGUGCAGGACGAAGGCCUUCGGGUUGUAAACUGCUUUUGUAUGGAACGAAAAGGCUCUGGCUAAUACCUGGGGCUCAUGACGGUACCGUAAGAAUAAGCACCGCCUAACUACGUG